RNAcentral lists this ribosomal RNA (469 nucleotides) under uncultured bacterium. RNAcentral's name for it is "partial 16S ribosomal RNA". It matches the Rfam family "Bacterial small subunit ribosomal RNA", at positions 28 to 507 of the family's 1533-position model. The record is from RNAcentral.
GAUGAACGCUGGCGGCGCGCCUAACACAUGCAAGUCGAACGGUUAAAGCACCUUUUAGGUGUGUAUAAAGUGGCGAACGGCUGAGUAACACGUGGGCAACCUGCCCUCCUCUUGGGGAUAGCCUCGGGAAACCGAGGAUAAUACCCGAUACUUCAAUGUGGCCGCAUGACGACAUUGAGAAAGCUUUUGCGGAGAAGGAUGGGCCCGCGGCCUGUUAGCUUGUUGGUGGGGUAGAGGCCUACCAAGGCAAUGAUGGGUAGCUGGGUUGAGAGACCGACCAGCCAGAUUGGGACUGAGACACGGCCCAGACUCCUACGGGAGGCAGCAGUGGGGAAGCUUGCACAAGGGGCGAAGGCCUGAUGCAGCGACGCCGCGGGCGGGACGAAGGCCUUCGGGUUGGAAACCGCGUUCAGCAGGGACGAGGCGAUAAGUGACGGUACCUGCAGAAGAAGCCCCGGCUAACUACGUG